Long non-coding RNA from Jaculus jaculus (lesser Egyptian jerboa), 342 nucleotides. RefSeq lists it as uncharacterized. The record is from RefSeq and is a predicted model, not a curated record. The transcript has 3 exons. Lineage: Eukaryota; Metazoa; Chordata; Mammalia; Rodentia; Dipodidae.
CUCUAGGCAAGCUCGCCUGCAGAACCCCUCUGCCCCUCCACUCCAAGCCGUGUCUGCCCAUUGCUCCGGCAAAGAGCUGGACUUGCGCGAAGUGACUCAUCUGGAAAAGAACCAGGAAGUGCAGGCUGACCUCUGCCUGGCUGGCCAGCAAGAACUGAGCAGAGUGUCAGUACCGGACAGCCCGCCGUGCCAACGCCCACCCCACCACUGUGAUUUCCUGCUCAGGGGAUGAAGUGAACCGACCCGUCACAUGGUUAUCUUAAUGCUGAGAGAAAACAUGACGCCAGAGACACUUUUGGAAGGAAAGGCUUUCUGCUUGUUUCAGGACAGUUUUGACGUGGG